GAACUUAAGCAUAUCAGUAAGCAGAGGAAAAGAAAACAACUGUGAUUCCCUUAGUAACUGCGAGUGAAGCGGGAUAAGCCCAUCGUUUAAUCUUCCCGGACCAUGGACGGGACGAAAUGUAACGGUAUGGAUAGGUUCUCUACCAACAAGGUCUGAUCAAAGUCCUCCGGAUUGAGGUGCCAAAGAGGGUGACAGCCCCGUGUGUGAUUGGACCGAGUUGGGUAUGUGGCCGAUUCCGAGAGUCGGGUUGUUUGGGACUGCAACCUAAAGUAGGUGGUAAACUCCACCCAAGGCUAAAUAUUGACACGAAACCGAUAGCGAACAAGUACUGUGAAGGAAAGUUGAAAAGAACUCUGAAAAGAGAGUUAAAAGUACGUGAAACCGCUAACGGGGAAGCGGAAGGCAGUGUCGAGAUCGAGUGAGUGAGUCUGUUUAAGCUUUAUUCGAUUAAUGUUUAAGUGGGCUAGCUUUGCUUGAUGCGUCAGGACUAUUGGUGUGCGACGGUUCAAUCGUGAGCAUGGCUUUCACGGCGAAUAAUUUAUUAGGGUUCGUGGAUGCGGCUGGCGAUCCGCCUCGUGUGCUGAUAUGUGUAGUGGGGAGCGUUGGUGAUGUAUUGUCGGUUGGUGCGGUGUGGUGGUUCGUUCUGGUCACAGUGUGGCUACGUGCGGACAAGUCAUGUGGUAGUUCAACAACCAAUGCUAGCUCCUGGCGUGAUACCGAACUUUC
RNAcentral lists this ribosomal RNA (726 nucleotides) under Kudoa thalassomi. RNAcentral describes it as "eukaryotic LSU rRNA". It matches the Rfam family "Eukaryotic large subunit ribosomal RNA", at positions 30 to 644 of the family's 3401-position model. Lineage: Eukaryota; Metazoa; Cnidaria; Myxozoa; Multivalvulida; Kudoidae. The record is from RNAcentral.